This 254-nucleotide ribosomal RNA is filed under the name uncultured bacterium. Its description in RNAcentral is "partial 16S ribosomal RNA". It matches the Rfam family "Bacterial small subunit ribosomal RNA", at positions 524 to 776 of the family's 1533-position model. The record is from RNAcentral.
CACGUAGGGGCCAAGCGUUGUCCGGAUUUAUUGGGCGUAAAGAGCUCGUAGGCGGUUGGGUAAGUCGGGUGUGAAAACUCCAGGCUCAACUUGGAGACGCCACCCGAUACUGCUCUGACUUGAGCUCGGUAGGGGAGUGGGGAAUUCCUGGUGUAGCGGUGAAAUGCGCAGAUAUCAGGAGGAACACCGGUGGCGAAGGCGCCACUCUGGGCCGAAACUGACGCUGAGGAGCGAAAGCGUGGGUAGCAAACAGG